RNAcentral lists this ribosomal RNA (484 nucleotides) under uncultured bacterium. Its description in RNAcentral is "partial 16S ribosomal RNA". It matches the Rfam family "Bacterial small subunit ribosomal RNA", at positions 30 to 507 of the family's 1533-position model. The record is from RNAcentral.
AUUGAACGCUGGCGGCAGGCCUAACACAUGCAAGUCGAGCGGAUGAAGGGAGCUUGCUCCUGGAUUCAGCGGCGGACGGGUGAGUAAUGCCUAGGAAUCUGCCUGGUCGUGGGGGAUAACGUCCGGAAACGGGCGCUAAUACCGCAUACGUCCUGAGGGAGAAAGUGGGGGAUCUUCGGACCUCACGCUAUCAGAUGAGCCUAGGUCGGAUUAGCUAGUUGGUGGGGUAAAGGCCUACCAAGGCGUCGAUCCGUAACUGGUCUGAGAGGAUGAUCAGUCACACUGGAACUGAGACACGGUACAGACUCCUACGGGAGGCAGCAGUGGGGAAUAUUGGACAAUGGGCGAAAGCCUGAUCCAGACAUGCCGCGUGUGUGAAGAAGGUCUUCGGAUUGUAAAGCACUUUAAGUUGGGAGGAAGGGCAGUAAGUUAAUACCUUGCUGUUUUGACGUUACCAACAGAAUAAGCACCGGCUAACUUCGUG